Homo sapiens (human) is the source of this 1853-nucleotide long non-coding RNA. RefSeq lists it as uncharacterized. The transcript has 2 exons. The record is from RefSeq and is a predicted model, not a curated record. Lineage: Eukaryota; Metazoa; Chordata; Mammalia; Primates; Hominidae.
UUGUGCCACUGCACUCCAGCCUGGGCAACAGAGUGAGGCCCUGUCUCAAAUAAAUAAAUAAAGUAGAUGGUCUGUCCAAGAGAAAAGAACACGCAGAGGAGAGCUAAGGACAGGACUCUAGGGAACACAAGAUGAAAGGGGGCCAGAGUACAGGACCUGGCAGGGAAGACUGAGAAAGAAUACUCAGAGAAGCAGGGGCAGGAGAAAACAGCAACAGUCAAGGCAGGAAAGGUGAGAGUUGCAAGGAAGGGUGGGCAACAGUGUCAAAUGCCAGGGAAGUUAAGUAGGAUUAACAUUAAAUAGACACCAGUGGAUUUGACAACGGAGACCUGAGGGAGACUAGAUGAAACGAUGAAGGUGGAGAUGAGGAAGCAGAAGCAGUGACAAUAGAACAUUCUUCACAGAAGCCUGGCCCUGAAAGAAGGGGGAGCUCUGAAAGGGAAAAGAGAUGAAAUGGGAGACAUUGUUUAGAAGGCAUAGACAUGGGUGAAGGCAGAAGAGAAAGUCUACCUGGUAAAGCAAGAUAAUGGAGAAGGAAAGCAGAAAUGGGGCCAAGAACUGGCAUGGAACAGCUCAUCUUAGGAGGGAAAAGGCCACGAUCUCUUCCUCCUUUGAGAUGAGAAAACCGAGACACGGAGCAGCUCAGUACCUAACCCAAGACCACACAGGUAAUAAGGCCUCAAGGGUGGAUUUUAUCCAGACAGCCUGGUUUCAGAGGCUUCAGUCCUUAGUUACUGCCUCUAUUUUCUCUAGAAUUUUCUUAGAAAGAUUGAAAAGGAAUAAAUCCCUGUUCUUCCUAGUCUAGCUUCUACCUUCUGUAAGUAUGCAUGCACUACUUGCUGUAGCUUUAGAGGCCUAUGGUUGGCAAGGUAAAGGCCUGGAACGUCAUUCCUCCCAAUCACUGGGAUUGAGGAUGCACGUAGCUGAUGUGGAGGUGAGAGGGGAGCUCAAUGGAAUCAAGAAAUGGACAGACUAUGAUGGACCUCCAAAUAUGUACUGCAAUUAUUGAGUUAAAGAUGGAAGAGCUCUACUCUGGCUGUGCUAACUCACUGUGUGAGCAUGGGCUUCAGUUCCCUCAGCUGCUCAAAGUUGGGGUGGAGUAAAACAGUCUCUAAGGUUCCUUUCCUGUGCAAGAAAAGGCUUUUCCAAUAUAUGGUGGCAUGGUUCUAGUAACCCAGGGGCAGCCCAGCCACAUCCUUAUAAGCAUAGCGGAUGGGAAGAGGGAGGGUGAUGAUUUAUCGUAUUUAUUCUUAAAGGGAUACAGGGAGAAAGUCACUGGAAAGCCGUAACAUUGUGCACCAUUACUAUACUAGAGUUUGUGUUAGGGAUACAGAGCAGGUUCUACCUCGCAAGCGUGAAGCUUUUCAUUUAAAAAAAUCUACGUAGAGGCCUCUUCGCACAAUUCCACAAUACUUUAUUUGGGACAGUAUGAUGACAGACCCUCUGCUAAACAAAUGAGGAUAUGUUAAUGAAUUGAGGAUGCGUUAGUGACAGGUAUUAGGUUCAAUCACACAUAAUUUGCUUUGAGGGAGUGCUAUGGUUUGAAUGUGUCUCCCAAAAGUUCAUCUGUUGGAAACUGAAUCUGCAGUGCAACAGUGUUGGGAGGUGCAGCCUAAUAACAGGUGAUUGGGUUAUGAGGGAGGAGUCCUCAUGAAUGGAUUAAUGUCCUUAUGGCAGGAGUGGGUUGCUAUAAGGCGAGUCCAGCCCCUGGGUGUCUCUUGGUCUCAUGUGCUGGCUUCCACCUUCCACCCUUCUGCCAUGGGAUGACCCUCGCCAGAUGCCAGCCCCACAGUCUUGGAUUUCACAACCUCCCCAGACCAUGAGCUAAAUAAAUUUCUGUUCAUUAUAAAUUA